This is a non-coding RNA of Oryza glumipatula, 208 nucleotides long. Lineage: Eukaryota; Viridiplantae; Streptophyta; Magnoliopsida; Poales; Poaceae. The record is from Rfam.
AAUAAGUGCAGUUAUGCACUGUUCACGUUCAACGUUUGACCGUUCGUCUUAUUUGAAAAUUUUUUAUGAUUAGUAUUUUUAUUGCUAUUAGAUGAUAAAACGUGAAUAGUAUUUUACGUGUGGCUAAAUAUUUUCAAUUUUUUCACAAAUUUUUCAAAUAAGACGGACGGUCAAACGUUGGGCACAAAUAUCCACGGCUGCACUUAUU